Molecule: long non-coding RNA, 631 nt
Organism: Mauremys mutica (yellowpond turtle)
Lineage: Eukaryota; Metazoa; Chordata; Testudines; Geoemydidae
Exons: 3
Source: RefSeq, a predicted model, not a curated record
CUAAGAGAGGUCAGUCAUGUCUCCAAGUUCUCCUGGAGUAAUUUCUACUAUUUAAUAGCUAAAAGCCCACUGAAACAUUGAAAGAAGCAAAUCAUGGUUAUGUGUAUCCAAACACAGUACCAAGCACACAAGGAAGGAGGCUGAAUUCUACUUUCCUUACCCACAUAGCUAGUCCUAUUGACCCUGGUGAGACCAUUUGCAAGAGUGAGGCUAGAUCCAACUCCCAUUCAAGGCACUGGAAAGACUCACAUUGGUUUAAAUAGAAGCUGCAUCAGGCUUUAAUGAAGACAAUCCUGCAAGGUGUUGAGCACUUUCAACUCCAAGUGAAAUCACCACCCUGAGUGAGCGGGAUUGGGUCCUCACUGAGCUAUGUAGAGACCUCAAUCAGGGGAAUAAAUAUGACUGCGAACCAAAACGUGAGAAAAUGAUUAGAAUACGUUAACAAACACAACAUUAAAAAGCUGAGCUAGGAAAACCUGUUGAGUAGAAACACAGAGUAUAUAUUAUGUUGUUUCCAUAAAGAAAUGCAAUACUGUACAAAUUAAGGGAGGCAAUUAAAAUUAAAUCAUAAGAUACACAAUAACUAUAUAAUGAAUGGUGGUGGAGAAGGAAAACAUUUGGUAAUAAUGAA